Molecule: non-coding RNA, 88 nt
Filed under: unclassified sequences
Description: S15-Methanomicrobia ribosomal protein leader
Rfam family: S15-Methanomicrobia ribosomal protein leader
Source: RNAcentral
AGCACUUUUUAAAACAGGUGCUGACAGAUGUAAGUCCGACGUGCCCGUUUCAAGGCACGGCCUCAAAACUAACAGGCUUUGGGAUUAC